RNAcentral lists this ribosomal RNA (447 nucleotides) under uncultured bacterium. RNAcentral's name for it is "bacterial SSU rRNA". It matches the Rfam family "Bacterial small subunit ribosomal RNA", at positions 329 to 793 of the family's 1533-position model. The record is from RNAcentral.
CCCCAGACUCCUACGGGAGGCAGCAGUGGGGAAUAUUGCACAAUGGGGGAAACCCUGAUGCAGCGACGCCGCGUGAGCGAUGAAGUAUUUCGGUAUGUAAAGCUCUAUCAGCAGGGAAGAAGAUGACGGUACCUGACUAAGAAGCCCCGGCUAACUACGUGCCAGCAGCCGCGGUAAUACGUAGGGGGCAAGCGUUAUCCGGAUUUACUGGGUGUAAAGGGAGCGUAGACGGCGGUGCAAGCCAGAUGUGAAAGCCCGGGGCUCAACCCCGGGACUGCAUUUGGAACUGUAUGGCUGGAGUGUCGGAGAGGCAGGCGGAAUUCCUAGUGUAGCGGUGAAAUGCGUAGAUAUUAGGAGGAACACCAGUGGCGAAGGCGGCCUGCUGGACGAUGACUGACGUUGAGGCUCGAAAGCGUGGGGAGCAAACAGGAUUAGAUACCCGGGUAA